RNAcentral lists this ribosomal RNA (831 nucleotides) under uncultured Phyllobacteriaceae bacterium. RNAcentral describes it as "bacterial SSU rRNA". It matches the Rfam family "Bacterial small subunit ribosomal RNA", at positions 1 to 879 of the family's 1533-position model. The record is from RNAcentral. Lineage: Bacteria; Pseudomonadati; Pseudomonadota; Alphaproteobacteria; Hyphomicrobiales; Phyllobacteriaceae.
AUUAGAGUUUGAUCCUGGCUCAGGACGAACGCUGGCGGCAGGCUUAACACAUGCAAGUCGAGCGCCCCGCAAGGGGAGCGGCAGACGGGUGAGUAACGCGUGGGAAUCUACCUAGUGGUACGGAACAACACAGGGAAACUUGUGCUAAUACCGUAUAAGUCCUUCGGGAGAAAGAUUUAUCGCCAUUAGAUGAGCCCGCGUCGGAUUAGCUAGUUGGUGGGGUAACGGCCCACCAAGGCGACGAUCCGUAGCUGGUCUGAGAGGAUGAUCAGCCACACUGGGACUGAGACACGGCCCAGACUCCUACGGGAGGCAGCAGUGGGGAAUAUUGGACAAUGGGCGCAAGCCUGAUCCAGCCAUGCCGCGUGAGUGAUGAAGGCCUUAGGGUUGUAAAGCUCUUUCGGCGGGGAAGAUAAUGACGGUACCCGCAGAAGAAGCCCCGGCUAACUUCGUGCCAGCAGCCGCGGUAAUACGAAGGGGGCUAGCGUUGUUCGGAAUCACUGGGCGUAAAGCGCACGUAGGCGGAUUGUUAAGUCGGAGGUGAAAUCCCAGGGCUCAACCCUGGAACUGCCUUCGAUACUGGCUAUCUCGAGUCCGGGAGAGGUGAGUGGAACUGCGAGUGUAGAGGUGAAAUUCGUAGAUAUUCGCAAGAACACCAGUGGCGAAGGCGGCUCACUGGCCCGGUACUGACGCUGAGGUGCGAAAAGCGUGGGGGAGCAACAGGAUUAGAUACCCCUGGUAGUCCACGCCGUAAACCGAUGGGUGCCUAGCCGUUGGACAGCUUUGCUGUUCAGUAGGCGCAGUUAAACGCGUUAGCACCCCGCCUGGGGA